UGCACCCCAGCGAUUAGGGCACAAGCGGCUGUAACCUGGGUGCUUAAUUAGAGUGUACCGCCUUAAUUGGGAGUUAGACCUUCUCUGGCUAAUAUUUAGACAGCGUUUGGGAGCGGUUGCUAUGUAGUGAUAUUUAUGCCAAGUAUGUGGGGAUGUUCCUUCACUUUCUCAACAGUAACAGUCUCUUUUGCGGCAGUGGGGCUCAACCAGGGGUACAUAUACCCCUAGCGGUAGGCCGAGGUCUUUCAGAGGGUACAGCUUUAGAUAUUUGCGUAGUUUUACAACAGGCUACAUAAUAAGCACCAGUGAGUCAAUGCAAAGUAAAAUUUCACACAGUGACUCAUUUAUACCGCUCUAUAUAUGAUGCACUGACAUGGUUGGUAAUUCUGUAGCCUGAAAUCUCUGAAGAACAGAAAACCAAAGAAGACAGAGUAAAAGAGGAGAGAUCUGGGCUCAGGAACCGGAAAGAUUGCCACCAGGACUGAUCCAGGGAUCCCAUCUCCUUGGAUCUGUGAGAAAUUGUAGUAAAAUCAACACAAUUACACAGUCUGAAGCAGCCCAAGUAACUGCUCUCCCAAGAGAAAGCAGUAGGAAAAGGACUGGCUGGUGGAUCUAUGGAGCUGUGUAUACAUCACUACCAAACUGCCCAAGCUGCAUGGAAGUCUUGGCCAUGAUGUUCUGCUCUACUAUACACACCCACAGGAGUUGGAGAGAGGAUCUACCCUGCCCCACCCCCCAAUAACCAGCCAUCGCUAGUUAGCCACUCAAUCAUUACUGAAAGGAUAUCCUCUUGAGCCACAUUGUAUUGAAUGAAGUGCCUAUGAGACUUCCAUUUCACUGAACGGGAAUUGCCUUGUAGCUAUUUUAUGCUGCCCUUUCUGUGACUCCAAAAUAAACAAACAAACAAACACUAAUUCUAGGCUUUUGAAGAAACUUUCAUGACACAGCUUUACAGAGAAUGACAUAAUUGCUGAUGCUGAGAGUGAGUGGAUGAAUGACUCUUCACUUCUCCCUUGCCUUGAUAUGAAAAGCCUAAAUUUUCAUAAAUCUCUAGCUUUAGGAGAAGGAUUGAGAAUUGACUAAAUCAGCCACUGACUUGUAAAAUAAAACCUCAUUUAAAUGUCAUCCUGCAAGUAACAAGACUGCUCCUGGAACAUGAAAAAACAGACAAACGUCGUGCUGUUUUUCUGAAGAGUUAAUUGAUUUUUUUAUGUAAAUACAGACUGAGGACGUAUGCAAAUAAGAGCAGCUCUGAUCUACAGUACGUUGUGCCUGGUUUUGGUGUUUUACGGUCCUGACAUUUACAGAGGCCAAUAGCUUUAUCCUUGGAGUGCUGAAAUGUUAGCAGCCCAGCAGGGUCUGCUUUUCAAAUCUUCCUGCAAAAAAAAAUCUGUGUUGAGCACCAGCAGAGAAGCAUCAGGGGUUGGGCUUGGUUCAUUAUGUUCAUCAUUGUGAUGAUAGGGUUUUUACACCCUACAUCUCACAUCUGGGCAACCCACUGUGCAAUACAUCAAAGCACUGCGUUAUUUUCCAAUCUCCAAUAUUCCAGUAGUGGAACUGGACUGGAUUUGACUCUCUCUCUCAUGUUUCCCAAAAGGUUAACCUGAGGCCUACCACUAGUGUAGUGUUUCCUCCAACAAACUGUAAGACUAACACUUUGUCCAAAUGGGUUGAAAAGUAUCUCUCACAAUAGUGGCCUUCCUAAACUGUUCCUUAUUUGUAUCAUGUGUUAGUGCAAAUAGCUGCCUUAACAAUCCCACAAUCUCAGGGGCAAAUCGUACAGUUCUUAUUCAGGCAACACUUCCAUUUAAGUCAAUGGAAAUAUUGCCAGAAUAAAGACUGCAAAAUAUGGCCCACAGAUUGCAAGAUCUAUGAAACCGUUUUGAUUUGUGCAUGCCAGCCCCUGUAAGUGGUGCAUACACUUAAAGCGCUAUAUUAAUAAUAAUGAUAGUAAGUAAGUAUUGUAAUAAGCUUGAGUGUUGUUGUUUUCUCUUCUGGAGGCUGAGCCUAUCAGAAAAGGGCUAUUUCACCCACUAUUCUGAAAGACUGGUAAAUAAACGUUGGUUAUGGAGAGUGAUUAAUUCAGUCUGGUUAACCACAUGAUUAGUAAGGUAGUGUUAAGUCAACUUGCAUGGAAAUCUACACAAUGUUCAGUCUAGGCUGCAUGCUUGUUAAACCAAGUCAGCCUAUGAAAUGUUUAAGCAACAAGGCUUAGUGUUUUCAGCGAAGUUACGCAUGAUCCUGCAAUUUCCCCCCCAAAACCCCAGACCUAGUGGAGGCUGCCUUGUUUUGCUUUCAUUCCUGGAAAAUGAGAUACUUCUGGCACUAGGAUACCAGCUGGAAUAUCAUUGCAUCAGCAUUACCCAAUCAGUGGUAUCUGGUGAUGUGACACCUCUUCUCAGGGAGCAGUAUUAAAUGAUGGAAAAGAUUAGGGUAAUCACUGGA
Mauremys reevesii (Reeves's turtle) is the source of this 2445-nucleotide long non-coding RNA. RefSeq lists it as uncharacterized. The record is from RefSeq and is a predicted model, not a curated record. The transcript is spliced from 6 exons. NCBI's taxonomy places the organism in Eukaryota, Metazoa, Chordata, Testudines, Geoemydidae.